GCUACACAUGCAGUCGAGCGAGACCUUCGGGUCUAGCGGCGGACGGGUUAGUAACGCGUGGGAACGUGCCCUUCUCUGCGGAAUAGCCACUGGAAACGGUGAGUAAUACCGCAUACGCCCUUCGGGGGAAAGAUUUAUCGGAGAAGGAUCGGCCCGCGUUAGAUUAGAUAGUUGGUGGGGUAACGGCCUACCAAGUCUACGAUCUAUAGCUGGUUUUAGAGGAUGAUCAGCAACACUGGGACUGAGACACGGCCCAGACUCCUACGGGAGGCAGCAGUGGGGAAUCUUAGACAAUGGGCGCAAGCCUGAUCUAGCCAUGCCGCGUGUGUGAUGAAGGUCUUAGGAUCGUAAAGCACUUUCGCCAGGGAUGAUAAUGACAGUACCUGGUAAAGAAACCCCGGCUAACUCCGUGCCAGCAGCCGCGGUAAUACGGAGGGGGUUAGCGUUGUUCGGAAUUACUGGGCGUAAAGCGUACGUAGGCGGAUCAGAAAGUUGGGGGUGAAAUCCCGGGGCUCAACCCCGGAACUGCCUCCAAAACUCCUGGUCUUGAGUUCGAGAGAGGUGAGUGGAAUUCCAAGUGUAGAGGUGAAAUUCGUAGAUAUUUGGAGGAACACCAGUGGCGAAGGCGGCUCACUGGCUCGAUACUGACGCUGAGGUACGAAAGUGUGGGGAGCAAACAGGAUUAGAUACCCUGGUAGUCCACACCGUAAACGAUGAAUGCCAGUCGUCGGGCAGUAUACUGUUCGGUGACACACCUAACGGAUUAAGCAUUCCGCCUGGGGAGUACGGUCGCAAGAUUAAAACUC
RNAcentral lists this ribosomal RNA (806 nucleotides) under Sulfitobacter dubius. Its description in RNAcentral is "bacterial SSU rRNA". It matches the Rfam family "Bacterial small subunit ribosomal RNA", at positions 48 to 902 of the family's 1533-position model. Lineage: Bacteria; Pseudomonadati; Pseudomonadota; Alphaproteobacteria; Rhodobacterales; Roseobacteraceae. The record is from RNAcentral.